CAGGCCUAACACAUGCAAGUCGAACGGUGAAGCCCAGCUUGCUGGGUGGAUCAGUGGCGAACGGGUGAGUAACACGUGAGCAAUCUGCCCCUGACUCUGGGAUAAGCGCUGGAAACGGUGUCUAAUACUGGAUAUGAGCUGCGACCGCAUGGUCAGUAGUUGGAAAGAUUUUUCGGUCAGGGAUGAGCUCGCGGCCUAUCAGCUUGUUGGUGAGGUAAUGGCUCACCAAGGCGUCGACGGGUAGCCGGCCUGAGAGGGUGACCGGCCACACUGGGACUGAGACACGGCCCAGACUCCUACGGGAGGCAGCAGUGGGGAAUAUUGCACAAUGGGCGGAAGCCUGAUGCAGCAACGCCGCGUGAGGGAUGACGGCCUUCGGGUUGUAAACCUCUUUUAGCAGGGAAGAAGCGAAAGUGACGGUACCUGCAGAAAAAGCGCCGGCUAACUACGUGCCAGCAGCCGCGGUAAUACGUAGGGCGCGAGCGUUAUCCGGAAUCAUUGGGCGUAAAGAGCUCGUAGGCGGUUUGUCGCGUCUGCUGUGAAAUCCCGAGGCUCAACCUCGGGCCUGCAGUGGGUACGGGCAGACUAGAGUGCGGUAGGGGAGAUUGGAAUUCCUGGUGUAGCGGUGGAAUGCGCAGAUAUCAGGAGGAACACCGAUGGCGAAGGCAGAUCUCUGGGCCGUAACUGACGCUGAGGAGCGAAAGGGUGGGGAGCAAACAGGCUUAGAUACCCUGGUAGUCCACCCCGUAA
This 750-nucleotide ribosomal RNA is filed under the name uncultured bacterium. Its description in RNAcentral is "bacterial SSU rRNA". It matches the Rfam family "Bacterial small subunit ribosomal RNA", at positions 43 to 805 of the family's 1533-position model. The record is from RNAcentral.